Molecule: long non-coding RNA, 743 nt
Organism: Herpailurus yagouaroundi (jaguarundi)
Lineage: Eukaryota; Metazoa; Chordata; Mammalia; Carnivora; Felidae
Exons: 2
Source: RefSeq, a predicted model, not a curated record
GUGGUUGCCCGCCCAUCCACCCAUCCCAGCGGAAAGAAAGCGUGUAGCCACAAAUGGAGUCAACCUCCCUCCACCCCGGCCGGAAGUGCCCCCAGCCAAGCAGGGACCGGCUACCCUUUGCAGAUCCUUGGCCUGGCCCGGCAGAAAUGGGUGUCCCAGGGCAGAGGAUGGGAGGGGCGGGCCAGGCUUCUGGGCCACAGGCUGUACGCGUGCGAUCAGAGACCAGUUAUCCCCUGGGAAGAGGGAAGGCGCUUCUGUUUCCCCGUCUGGCGAGUGGCUUUCUGUGGCACAUCGUAUCUUCCCCAAACGGCCACGAGAGUAUUUCUUUUUCCCACGUGCUCUUCGAGAACCCUGCCACUCUCCUCCACCAAGAGGGGGAGUCCACAUCCGGCCUCUCCGCGGUUGGGCGUGCAGGUUCUAGAGGCUCCCUGGGUUCUUUCACCUCGGUUCCUGCGCCUGUAAAGUGAGGAUGCCAGUAACAGCAGGCUCUCAGAUGGAAAGAACAUUACACCGUGUUUCCCUAAUUCUGGGACGGCGUGAGCUCUGAUAUGCACCAUCGACGGCAUUUUUUUUUUUCAGAGGAAAGGAGGAAAUGCUACCGUUCGGAAUUGUAAGACUUCUCCCGAUUUUAGAAAAGUUAACGUCUAUGGAGGAAGGCUUCUUAGGUCAAGGAAAUAGUGUGGAACCAAGUAAUCACAGUGGGGGCCGUCAGCAGGGGAGAAUAAAAUUUAUUUUUAUUUUUA